CAGGGCGGCGGGCGGCCCCGGGCAGCAAGGGGACGCCCGGCACCGACCCCGGCAGGAGGCCAAGCCGCCGGGGCCCCGCGGGUGGGCGCCCUCCGUCCUGCCCCUGCCCCGAAGCGGCUGCAACGCGCCGGCGCUCCCAGCGCCGGGUCUGCCGGGCCGGCACCGGCGUGGCGUCCCCACGCGAGGCGGGUGGCGAGAAGGGCGGCCGGGCCGGGCCGCGGAGUCGCCCCCCGCCGCAACUCUGGCGCCCCCCGGCUCGGGGCGCGGCCAGCCCGGCGGCGGCCUCGCCAGCGGUCCUGCGGGCCACCUCGGCGGACCCGUGAAUCGGAGGCGGCCGGAGGGUUACGGGCAGGAAUUACGAAGUAGCUACAGGCGCUGGAAGCCCCAUUGCUGCAUCAGUCUCUCCGCUCAGGCUGCGACGAGCUUCGCCGGCAUCAUUUACUUUCUCCUGCAGCGGCUCCCAAGAGCUCCCCCAGCUGCACUGCAUCGCCCCAGCCAGCCUGAAGGGAGAAGCAAACGAGGAGCAGGCAGACCACGCACCCUCGCUCCGCCUGCAGCUCAGCCCGGCUCUCCUCUCCUCCUCCCCAGCCUGCCAGGUCCUUGUCCCUUCAAAACUUUCCCUGAUGUUGUGAGCUGGGCUCGGGUGGGCGCUUCGCCUCCGCUGCUUGCCUGCUCCGCCCGCCUCGCAGAUGAUUUGCAGUUGAAGAGAGCUCCCUCGACGGCUGCCGGAGCUCCUGGUGGGAACCAACAGAGGCUGUAGCUGGCAGGGAGCCGACGAGGAGAGACAAGAACCUGGAGAAAGUUGGGUUACUCUUGCCAGACGCCGGCUGGAAACCGUUUGGCAGGUCCCUGCCCCACCGGUUUUCCCCGAAACGCCAAAAUCUGCAAAAGUUGCCGGGAGCGUCACCGCUGCCCAGCCAGCUCCAGGCGCUGCGCGCCGCUCCGCCGCCCCCCGGGCUGGCCGGGGCCGCCUCGCCCCUCCCUGCCCCCUGCCCUGCCGGGCGCGCCGCGGCUUCUUCCCCUUUGGCUUUCCAGGUUUUUCCCCUCCCCUCUUCACCAUUUCAUUCCCCUUUGGGGAAAAGAAAAAAAAAAGAAAAAGGAGCCAAUUAAAGCAGCCGUGCUCGGAAGAGCCCUGCCUCCUGCCCAAUUCUGCGAGCCUCCCCUCGCCCCGGCCCAAUUAGAGACAGCACCGCAGGGCUGGGGAGGACAAGGGUCUUGCUUCGGGCGGAGAGAUCAGCCGUCAGCCCGGGGUCCCUCCAUCCUCAGGACACUCGCGGCAAGCACCACAUCCAAGAAUGUCUCCAGGAUCCCUGAAGUUUGAUCUCUUCCUACACACACAUACGGAAGUGGUGUUGGCCACUGCUGGAGCACUUGACUCAAGAAUCCAGUGAUUUUUAUCUUUGUGUGAACCUGUAUGUGUACACACACACACACACAGACACAGACACAGACACAGACACACACACACAUCCUUUUCCUUCCUAUCUCAUUCCUAUUAAAAAUUACAGCAUCAUUUUUAAUAAGUCACCUGUUCGAGUCAAUAUACCUUAAACAAUUCUUUGCACAAAUCCAGAACUUGCAAAAGAUAUGUGCAAAUAAAACAUUUGGAACUGUGCCUGCUGAAGGGAUGCUUUAAAGCACAACAACCCCCCUCCAAGUGUUGCUGCUCCCUCCUUACCUUUGCGGUGGGUCUGAAACACAAUUCCAUGUUGCCUCUAUGCUUAAAAAUACAUCCGUAAGGUGCAGUGGCAUCUUUGUCUUUUCUCUGUAACUUGAUCCACUUUAGAAAAUCCAUGGUGAAAGACUGUUUAAACUUACCAUGACCAUUUAUAACACAAUUCUCUAGAAAACAAGAG
Long non-coding RNA from Falco peregrinus (peregrine falcon), 1856 nucleotides. RefSeq lists it as uncharacterized. The record is from RefSeq and is a predicted model, not a curated record. Lineage: Eukaryota; Metazoa; Chordata; Aves; Falconiformes; Falconidae. The transcript has 4 exons.